This 253-nucleotide ribosomal RNA is filed under the name uncultured Acidobacteriota bacterium. Its description in RNAcentral is "uncultured Acidobacteria bacterium partial 16S ribosomal RNA". It matches the Rfam family "Bacterial small subunit ribosomal RNA", at positions 524 to 776 of the family's 1533-position model. Lineage: Bacteria; Pseudomonadati; Acidobacteriota. The record is from RNAcentral.
UACGUAGGCAGCAAGCGUUGUUCGGAGUUACUGGGCGUAAAGAGUGCGUAGGCGGUUCUCUAAGUUCGUUGUGAAAUCUCCCGGCUCAACUGGGAGGGUGCGGCGAAGACUGGGGAGCUGGAGUGUGGGAAAGGCAAGCGGAAUUCCUGGUGUAGCGGUGAAAUGCGUAGAUAUCAGGAGGAACACCGGCGGUGUAGACGGCUUGCUAGACCAUGACUGACGCUGAGGCACGAAAGCGUGGGGAGCAAACAGG